This 80-nucleotide transfer RNA is filed under the name Erinaceus europaeus (western European hedgehog). It matches the Rfam family "tRNA". Rfam says of the family: Transfer RNA (tRNA) molecules are approximately 80 nucleotides in length. Their secondary structure includes four short double-helical elements and three loops (D, anti-codon, and T loops). Lineage: Eukaryota; Metazoa; Chordata; Mammalia; Eulipotyphla; Erinaceidae. The record is from Rfam by way of RNAcentral.
GGGGAGAUAGCAUAAUGGUUAUGCAAAAGACUUCCAUGCCCGAGGCUCUGUGAACCUGGGUUCAAUUCCCAUUAACACCA